AACACGGAGAGUUUGAUCCUGGCUCAGGAUGAACGCUGGCGGUCUGCUUAACACAUGCAAGUCGAACGGAGUAGAAAUAC
RNAcentral lists this ribosomal RNA (80 nucleotides) under Microcoleus sp. FACHB-45. Its description in RNAcentral is "partial 16S ribosomal RNA". It matches the Rfam family "Bacterial small subunit ribosomal RNA", at positions 1 to 80 of the family's 1533-position model. RNAcentral also lists the same sequence under 3 other names. Lineage: Bacteria; Bacillati; Cyanobacteriota; Cyanophyceae; Oscillatoriales; Microcoleaceae. The record is from RNAcentral.